GACGAACGUUGGCGGCGUGCUUAAUACAUGCAAGUCAACUGAAGCAGUGGUAGCAAUAUCGCUGUGGAGGUGGCGCACGGGUGAGUAACACGUAGGUAAUCUGCCUUCAGGUCUGGCAUAACUCCGGGAAACCGGGGCUAAUAGCGGAGGAUGCAGCGGCUCGACAUCGAGACAGUUGUUAAAGCUAUGGCGCCUGAAGAUGAGCCUGCGUCUGAUUAGCUAGUUGGCGGGGUAACGACCCACCAAGGCAACGAUCAGUAGCUGGUCUGAGAGGAUGAUCAGGCACACUGGAACGGAGACGCGGUCCAGACUACUACGGGAGGCAGCAGUAAGGAAUAUUGGUCAAUGGGAGAAAUCCUAAAGCAGCAACGCCGCGUGAGGGACGAAGGGCUUUUGCUUGUAAACCUCUGUAGUGAGAGAAAAAAAUCCCAAUCUGUGGGACAUGAUGGUAUCUCAAAAGUAAGCCCCGGCUAACUACGUG
RNAcentral lists this ribosomal RNA (481 nucleotides) under uncultured bacterium. RNAcentral describes it as "partial 16S ribosomal RNA". It matches the Rfam family "Bacterial small subunit ribosomal RNA", at positions 28 to 507 of the family's 1533-position model. The record is from RNAcentral.